This 480-nucleotide ribosomal RNA is filed under the name uncultured bacterium. Its description in RNAcentral is "partial 16S ribosomal RNA". It matches the Rfam family "Bacterial small subunit ribosomal RNA", at positions 28 to 507 of the family's 1533-position model. The record is from RNAcentral.
GAUGAACGCUAGCGGCAGGCCUAACACAUGCAAGUCGAGGGAGAGGUUACCUUCGGGUAACCAAAACCGGCGCACGGGUGCGUAACGCGUAUACAAUCUGCCUUUCACAUAGGGAUAGCCCGAAGAAAUUUGGAUUAAUACCUAAUGGUAUAUAAGAGCGGCAUCGUUUUUAUAUUAAAGCUACGGUGGUGAAAGAUGAGUAUGCGUUCUAUUAGCUAGUUGGAGAGGUAACGGCUCCCCAAGGCGACGAUAGAUAGGGGUUCUGAGAGGGAUGCCCCCCACACUGGUACUGAGAUACGGACCAGACUCCUACGGGAGGCAGCAGUGAGGAAUAUUGGACAAUGGUCGGAAGACUGAUCCAGCCAUGCCGCGUGCAGGAUGAAGGUCCUAUGGAUUGUAAACUGCUUUUGUAAGGGAAGAAUAAGGAGUACGUGUACUUUGAUGACGGUACCUUACGAAUAAGCAUCGGCUAACUCCGUG